UACGGAGGGGGCGAGCGUUGUUCGGAAUUACUGGGCGUAAAGGGCGCGUAGGCGGCUUAUCAAGUCAGGAGUGAAAGGCACGGGCUCAACCUGUGGACUGCUCUUGAAACUGGUAGGCUUGAGUCCGGCAGAGGGUGGUGGAAUUCCCCGUGUAGAGGUGAAAUUCGUAGAUAUGGGGAGGAACACCGGAGGCGAAGGCGGCCACCUGGACCGGUACUGACGCUGAGGCGCGAAAGCGUGGGGAGCGAACAGG
RNAcentral lists this ribosomal RNA (253 nucleotides) under uncultured bacterium. RNAcentral's name for it is "partial 16S ribosomal RNA". It matches the Rfam family "Bacterial small subunit ribosomal RNA", at positions 524 to 776 of the family's 1533-position model. The record is from RNAcentral.